RNAcentral lists this ribosomal RNA (1528 nucleotides) under Francisella orientalis. RNAcentral's name for it is "16S ribosomal RNA". It matches the Rfam family "Bacterial small subunit ribosomal RNA". The record is from RNAcentral. RNAcentral also lists the same sequence under 2 other names. Lineage: Bacteria; Pseudomonadati; Pseudomonadota; Gammaproteobacteria; Thiotrichales; Francisellaceae.
AAACUGAAGAGUUUGAUCCUGGCUCAGAUUGAACGCUGGUGGCAUGCUUAACACAUGCAAGUCGAACGGUAACAGGUCUUCGGAUGCUGACGAGUGGCGGACGGGUGAGUAACGCGUAGGAAUCUGCCCAUCUGUGGGGGAUACCAGUUGGAAACGACUGUUAAUACCGCAUAAUAUCUGCGGAUUAAAGGUGGCCUUUGCGCUGCCGCAGAUGGAUGAGCCUGCGUUGGAUUAGCUAGUUGGUGGGGUAAGGGCCUACCAAGGCUACGAUCCAUAGCUGAUUUGAGAGGAUGAUCAGCCACAUUGGGACUGAGACACGGCCCAAACUCCUACGGGAGGCAGCAGUGGGGAAUAUUGGACAAUGGGGGAAACCCUGAUCCAGCAAUGCCAUGUGUGUGAAGAAGGCUCUAGGGUUGUAAAGCACUUUAGUUGGGGAGGAAAGCCUGUGAGUUAAUAGCUUGCAGGAAGGACGUUGCCCAAAGAAUAAGGACCGGCUAACUCCGUGCCAGCAGCCGCGGUAAUACGGGGGGUCCGAGCGUUAAUCGGAAUUACUGGGCGUAAAGGGUCUGUAGGUGGUUUGUUAAGUCAGAUGUGAAAGCCCAGGGCUCAACCUUGGAACUGCAUUUGAUACUGACAAACUAGAGUAUGGUAGAGGAAUAGGGAACUUCUGGUGUAGCGGUGAAAUGCGUAGAGAUCAGAAGGAACACCAAUGGCGAAGGCAACAUUCUGGACCAAUACUGACACUGAGGGACGAAAGCGUGGGGAUCAAACAGGAUUAGAUACCCUGGUAGUCCACGCUGUAAACGAUGAGUACUAGCUGUUGGAUUCGGUGUAAAGGAUCUAGUGGCGCAGCUAACGCGUUAAGUACUCCGCCUGGGGACUACGGCCGCAAGGCUAAAACUCAAAGGAAUUGACGGGGACCCGCACAAGCGGUGGAGCAUGUGGUUUAAUUCGAUGCAACGCGAAGAACCUUACCUGGUCUUGACAUCCUGCGAACUUUCUAGAGAUAGAUUGGUGCCUUCGGGAACGCAGUGACAGGUGCUGCACGGCUGUCGUCAGCUCGUGUUGUGAAAUGUUGGGUUAAGUCCCGCAACGAGCGCAACCCCUAUUGAUAGUUACCAUCAUUAAGUUGGGUACUCUAUUGAGACUGCCGCUGACAAGGCGGAGGAAGGUGGGGACGACGUCAAGUCAUCAUGGCCCUUACGACCAGGGCUACACACGUGCUACAAUGGGUAUUACAGAGGGCUGCGAAGGUGCGAGCUGGAGCGAAACUCAGAAAGGUACUCUUAGUCCGGAUUGCAGUCUGCAACUCGACUGCAUGAAGUCGGAAUCGCUAGUAAUCGCAGGUCAGAAUACUGCGGUGAAUACGUUCCCGGGUCUUGUACACACCGCCCGUCACACCAUGGGAGUGGGUUGCUCCAGAAGUAGAUAGCUUAACGAAUGGGCGUUUACCACGGAGUGAUUCAUAACUGGGGUGAAGUCGUAACAAGGUAGCCGUAGGGGAACCUGCGGCUGGAUCACCUCCUUA